GGUUCGAUGGUGUAGUUGGUUAUCACGUCUGUCUCACACGUCCUCCCUAAGAAGGAUGGAGCGCACAGGAGGUCUCCGGUUCGAGCCCGGAUCGAACCA
Molecule: non-coding RNA, 99 nt
Organism: Trametes cingulata
Lineage: Eukaryota; Fungi; Basidiomycota; Agaricomycetes; Polyporales; Polyporaceae
Source: the annotation of a GenBank genome assembly